CAGUGUUAACAUGGUUAAAUCAACAUAAAGCCUGAAGGGCAUUUAAUUUAAAAAAGAACGCACUUUACUUGAUUUAAUGAUUUCAAUUUAUUCCCUUGGAUUAUUUUUAUUCAUUACACAAAAAUGUACUGAACACAUUGUAUUUGAUGCAGUAGUGUCAAAAUUUUUCAUGUGUAUUGGAAUCACUUAAAUUCUGCCUUAGGAACUCAUGAUUCAGUGAGUGAAAAAUCAGAUCCCAGAAAUGUGUACUUAGAAACUGCUGCCCAAGAUGAUUUUGAAGUAAAUGGGACUCACAUCCCCACUUUUGAGAGAGAUUGUGACAAAGGCUUUCUGAUUAUGUCUCUUAAUCUUAAGACAAAGAACAGGGAUACAACUGCCUCUCCUCCUUGAAAACAUGAGGUUGUAAAGUGUCUCAUAUACUUCAUUUGAGUAAAAUUUAAGACAUGUAAAUGAGUGGUUACUCACCCACAGCUAGGAAAUUGUGUUCAAGAAGGGGGUAGAAAGUCUGGAUGUCAUUGCAUGCCCACUUUGCAUUUCAACAUGUCUAAAAAAAUUUUCUUCCAGAAUUACUCCUAAAAUAGUAUUUUCUAAUAGAUUCUUCAUACCCCUCCUCGCUGUUGAAAUCUGCAGAUAGUAACUAAGCAUGGAAAACACAUUCUUUUCAAGCCACUACCUGAAAGCAAGCAGCCCUAUUGGAGGGUGUGGCCACCAAGACUGGGAAGGGGACCACAGAGUUCUUGUGUUGUGCUUUGCCCUCCCUCUGAGUCCCUUCGCAGAGGUCCUGGAAUUGAAUUCUACCUUGAAUUAUCAUUUUGGGGAGCACCUAUCAUAGACUAGUCACUGGUGUACAGGCUUUAUAAAAUAGAGAAGAGACUUUGUGCAUCAAUUAACAACCUCUAGCUCCCAGCCAAGUACCUGGAACUGGUGGAGAAGCAGGAUGACCAAGAGGGAGAAGAACAUUCACCGCUCUCAUGGGCUUCCCUGUCUUGCUUGAGAAUGAGUUAGAGAAUCCCCCCACCCCUCACAGAUUGCCAUGAGUUUCCAUUCAGAGAACAAAGUAUGAAUCUAAAAACCAUGGUACCACCAAGUGGUCACGACUCGGGCCAGUCAAGUUGUACUGAAAUCAGAGUGAUUCACAGAUAGAUUGCUUUUAAUCGAGAAGAAAAAGAGUCAAGGAAAAUACAAACUCUGUAAAGAGAGAAGCCCAGAUGAGUUGCUGAAUUUCCUAGAAGGUGAAAGCUUAAAGUAUGUGAACAGCAAAUAAACACUAUGAGCAGAAAUUUUAAAAAGAUGGA
RNAcentral lists this long non-coding RNA (1295 nucleotides) under Oryctolagus cuniculus (rabbit). Its description in RNAcentral is "lncRNA (ENSOCUG00000038383.1)". Lineage: Eukaryota; Metazoa; Chordata; Mammalia; Lagomorpha; Leporidae. The record is from RNAcentral.